CGGACGAACGCUGGCGGCGUGGAUUAGGCAUGCAAGUCGGACGGUAGGGCUUUAUCGUAAGAUAGAGUUUGAGAGUGGCGAACGGGUGAGUAACACGUAGGAAUCUACCCUUAAGACGGGGACAACCCAGGGAAACUUGGGCUAAUACCGGAUGUGAGCAACUUUUAGUUGUUUGAAAGGUGGCGUAAGCUGUCGCUUGGGGAUGAGCCUGCGUCCUAUUAGUUAGUUGGUGAGGUAACGGCUCACCUAGGCAAUGAUAGGUAGGCGGCCUUAACGGGUGGUCGCCCACAAUGGAACUGAAACACGGUCCAUACACCUACGGGUGGCAGCAGUAGGGAAUAUUGCAGAAUGGGCGCAAGCCUGAUGCAGCAACGCCGCGUGGGCGAUUGAAGGCCUUCGGGUUGUAAAGCCCUUUUGCGCGGGAAGAGGAAGGACGGUACCGCGCGAAUAAGCCUCGGCUAACUACGUG
RNAcentral lists this ribosomal RNA (469 nucleotides) under uncultured bacterium. Its description in RNAcentral is "bacterial SSU rRNA". It matches the Rfam family "Bacterial small subunit ribosomal RNA", at positions 27 to 507 of the family's 1533-position model. The record is from RNAcentral.